This 1332-nucleotide ribosomal RNA is filed under the name metagenome. Its description in RNAcentral is "bacterial SSU rRNA". It matches the Rfam family "Bacterial small subunit ribosomal RNA", at positions 18 to 1369 of the family's 1533-position model. The record is from RNAcentral.
UUUGGCUCAGGACGAACGCUGGCGGCGUGCCUAACACAUGCAAGUCGAGCGGAGAUUGCAGUAAUGUAAUCUUAGCGGCGGACGGGUGAGUAACGCGUAGGUAACCUACCUUAUGCAGGGGGAUAACACUGGGAAACUAGUGCUAAUACCGUAUAAAAUAUUUAGAAGGCAUCUUCUAAAUAUCAAAGGAGAAAUCCAGCAUAAGAUGGACCUGCGUCCGAUUAGCUAGUUGGUAAGGUAAAGGCUUACCAAGGCGACGAUCGGUAGCCGAACUGAGAGGUUGAUCGGCCACAUUGGGACCGAGACACGGCCCAGACUCCUACGGGAGGCAGCAGUGGGGAAUAUUGCGCAAUGGGGGAAACCCUGACGCAGCAACGCCGCGUGAAGGAUGAAGGUUUUCGGAUUGUAAACUUCUUUGAUUGGGGACGAAUAAAUGACGGUACCCAAAAAACAAGCCACGGCUAACUACGUGCCAGCAGCCGCGGUAAUACGUAGGUGGCAAGCGUUGUCCGGAAUUAUUGGGUGUAAAGGGCGUGUAGGCGGGAAUGUAAGUCAGAUGUGAAAUACCGAAGCUUAACUUCGGGGCUGCGUCUGAAACUAUGUUUCUUGAGUGCUGGAGAGGAAAGCGGAAUUCCUAGUGUAGCGGUGAAAUGCGUAGAUAUUAGGAGGAACACCAGUGGCGAAGGCGGCUUUCUGGACAGUAACUGACGCUGAGGCGCGAAAGCGUGGGGAGCAAACAGGAUUAGAUACCCUGGUAGUCCACGCUGUAAACGAUGGAUACUAGGUGUAGGAGGUAUCGACCCCUUCUGUGCCGGAGUUAACACAAUAAGUAUCCCACCUGGGGAGUACGGCCGCAAGGUUGAAACUCAAAGGAAUUGACGGGGGCCCGCACAAGCAGUGGAGUAUGUGGUUUAAUUCGAAGCAACGCGAAGAACCUUACCAGGACUUGACAUCCCUCGAAGUUUAUAGAAAUAUAAAUGUCCUUCGGGACGAGGAGACAGGUGGUGCAUGGUUGUCGUCAGCUCGUGUCGUGAGAUGUUGGGUUAAGUCCCGCAACGAGCGCAACCCUUGUUGUUAGUUGCCAGCAUGUAAUGAUGGGCACUCUAGCGAGACUGCCGGUGAUAAAUCGGAGGAAGGUGGGGACGACGUCAAAUCAUCAUGCCCCUUAUGUUCUGGGCUACACACGUACUACAAUGGCUAUUACAGAGGGAAGCAAUACCGCAAGGAGGAGCAAAUCCCAAAAAAUAGUCCCAGUUCGGAUUGUGGGCUGAAACCCGCCCACAUGAAGUCGGAAUUGCUAGUAAUGGCAGGUCAGCAUACUGCCGUGAAUAC